This 468-nucleotide ribosomal RNA is filed under the name uncultured bacterium. RNAcentral describes it as "partial 16S ribosomal RNA". It matches the Rfam family "Bacterial small subunit ribosomal RNA", at positions 28 to 507 of the family's 1533-position model. The record is from RNAcentral.
GACGAACGCUGGCGGCGUGCUUAACACAUGCAAGUCGAACGGAAAGGCCCUGCUUUUGUGGGGUGCUCGAGUGGCGAACGGGUGAGUAACACGUGAGUAACCUGCCCUUGACUUUGGGAUAACAUCAGGAAACUGGGGCUAAUACCGGAUAGGAGCUCCUGCUGCAUGGUGGGGGUUGGAAAGUUUCGGCGGUUGGGGAUGGACUCGCGGCUUAUCAGCUUGUUGGUGGGGUAGUGGCUUACCAAGGCUUUGACGGGUAGCCGGCCUGAGAGGGUGACCGGCCACAUUGGGACUGAGAGACGGCCCAGACUCCUACGGGAGGCAGCAGUGGGGAAUAUUGCACAAUGGGCGGAAGCCUGAUGCAGCAACGCCGCGUGCGGGAUGACGGCCUUCGGGUGGUAAACCGCUUUCGCCUGUGACGAAGCGUGAGUGACGGUAAUGGGUAAAGAAGCACCGGCUGACUACGUG